Molecule: ribosomal RNA, 497 nt
Filed under: uncultured bacterium
Lineage: Bacteria
Description: partial 16S ribosomal RNA
Rfam family: Bacterial small subunit ribosomal RNA
Source: RNAcentral
GAUGAACGCUGGCGGCGUGCCUAAUACAUGCAAGUCGAGCGAACGGACGAGAAGCUUGCUUCUCUGAUGUUAGCGGCGGGCGGGUGAGUAACACGUGGAUAACCUACCUAUAAGACUGGGAUAACUUCGGGAAACCGUAGCUAAUACCGGAUAAUAUUUUGAACCGCAUGGUUCAAAAGUGAAAGACGGUCUUGCUGUCACUUAUAGAUGGAUCCGCGCUGCAUUAGCUAGUUGGUAGGGUAACGGCUUACCAAGGCAACGAUGCAUAGCCGACCUGAGAGGGUGAUCGGCCACACUGGAACUGAGACACGGUCCAGACUCCUACGGGAGGCAGCAGUAGGGAAUCUUCCGCAAUGGGCGAAAGCCUGACGGAGCAACGCCGCGUGAGUGAUGAAGGUCUUCGGAUCGUAAAACUCUGUUAUUAGGGAAGAACAUAUGUGUAAGUAACUGUGCACAUCUUGACGGUACCUAAUCAGAAAGCCACGGCUAACUACGUG